CGACUCGGGGAGGUAGUGACAAUAACUAACAAUGCCGGUCCCUUAAGUGGUCCGGCAAUUGGAAUGAGUACAAUCCAAACCCCUUAACGAGGAACAAUUGGAGGGCAAGUCUGGUGCCAGCAGCCGCGGUAAUUCCAGCUCCAAUAGCGUAUAUUAAAGUUGUUGCAGUUAAAAAGCUCGUAGUUGGAUUUCGGGGCCUCGCGUCCCGCCCUGUGGCUCAGGCUGCUGUGGCGGUGCGGGCUUGCGUCGGUUCGGUCCGCCGAGAGGCGUGCACUGUCCGUCGGCCCCUGUGCUCUCGGAGACUCCGACUGCUCUUCAGUGCAGUGGUUGGGGGAUUCGGGACGUUUACUUUGAACAAAUUAGAGUGUUCCAAGCAGGCCGUUCGCUUUGAAUACGUUAGCAUGGAAUAAUGGAAUAGGACCGUCGGUCCUGUUUUGUUGGUUUUCGGGACCGCAGUCAUGGUCGAUAGGGACAGUUGGGGGCAUUCGUAUUCAAUUGUCAGAGGUGAAAUUCUCGGAUUUAUGGAAGACGAACGACUGCGAAAGCAUUUGCCAAGGAUGUUUUCAUUAAUCAAGAACGAAAGUUGGGGGUUCGAAGACGAUCAGAUACCGUCGUAGUCCCAACCAUAAACCAUGCCGGCUAGGGAUCGGCGGGCGUCGGUGGCGACCCCGUCGGCACCUCGCGAGAAAUCCAAGCCUUUGGGUUCCGGGGGGAGUAUGGUCGCAAGGCUGAAACUUAAAGGAAUUGACGGAAGGGCACCACCAGGAGUGGAGCCUGCGGCUUAAUUUGACUCAACACGGGGAACCUCACCAGGUCCGGACAUGGGAAGGAUUGACAGAUCGAGAGCUCUUUCUUGAUUCUAUGGGUGGUGGUGCAUGGCCGUUCUUAGUUGGUGGAGUGAUUUGUCUGGUUGAUUCCGUUAACGAACGAGACCUUAACCUGCUAACUAGUCGCGCCGUUUCCGAACGGCGGCCCGCUCUCUCCCGCCGAGUCGUAGACUUCGGUCGACGCUCGCGCGUGGGGCGUCGGGUCCCCCGAGUGGAGGCGACUUCUUAGAGGGACACUCGGCGUUUCAGCCGAGGGAGGACUGAGGCAAUAACAGGUCUGUGAUGCCCUUAGAUGUUCUGGGCCGCACGCGCGCUACACUGACGGAGGCAGCGAGCGUGUCCUUC
Molecule: ribosomal RNA, 1172 nt
Filed under: Haliclona plakophila
Lineage: Eukaryota; Metazoa; Porifera; Demospongiae; Haplosclerida; Chalinidae
Also listed under: 1 other name
Description: bacterial SSU rRNA
Rfam family: Eukaryotic small subunit ribosomal RNA
Source: RNAcentral